This 492-nucleotide ribosomal RNA is filed under the name uncultured bacterium. RNAcentral describes it as "partial 16S ribosomal RNA". It matches the Rfam family "Bacterial small subunit ribosomal RNA", at positions 29 to 507 of the family's 1533-position model. The record is from RNAcentral.
AGUGAACGCUGGCGGUAGGCCUAACACAUGCAAGUCGAACGGCAGCACAGUAAGAGCUUGCUCUUACGGGUGGCGAGUGGCGGACGGGUGAGGAAUACAUCGGAAUCUACCUUUUCGUGGGGGAUAACGUAGGGAAACUUACGCUAAUACCGCAUACGACCUACGGGUGAAAGCAGGGGAUCUUCGGACCUUGCGCGAUUGAAUGAGCCGAUGUCGGAUUAGCUAGUUGGCGGGGUAAAGGCCCACCAAGGCGACGAUCCGUAGCUGGUCUGAGAGGAUGAUCAGCCACACUGGAACUGAGACACGGUCCAGACUCCUACGGGAGGCAGCAGUGGGGAAUAUUGGACGAUGGGCGCAAGCCUGAUCCAGCCAUACCGCGUGGGUGAAGAAGGCCUUCGGGUUGUAAAGCCCUUUUGUUGGGAAAGAAAAGCAGCAGGUUAAUACCCCGCUGUUCUGACGGUACCCAAAGAAUAAGCACCGGCUAACUUCGUG